Molecule: ribosomal RNA, 496 nt
Filed under: uncultured Uronema sp.
Lineage: Eukaryota; Ciliophora; Oligohymenophorea; Philasterida; Uronematidae
Description: partial Bacterial large subunit ribosomal RNA
Rfam family: Bacterial large subunit ribosomal RNA
Source: RNAcentral
UGAAGGUGAGUUGAGAAGCUUGCUGGAGGUAUCAGAAGUGCGAAUGCUGACGUGAGUAACGACAAUGCGAGUGAAAAACUCGCACGCUGAAAGACCAAGGGUUCCAGUCCAACGUUAAUCGGGGCUGGGUGAGUCGACCCCUAAGGCGAGGCCGAGAGGCGUAGUCGAUGGGAAAUUGGUUAAUAUUCCAAUACUUCUGUGUAAUGCGAUGAGAGGACGGAGAAGGUUAAGUCAGCCUGGCGUUGGUUGUCCAGGUGGAAGGUUGUAGGCAUGUAUCUUAGGCAAAUCCGGGGUACUCUAUGCUGAGAACUGAUAGCAAGCUGUACUUGUACAGUGAAGUGGCUGAUACCAUGCUUCCAGGAAAAGUCUCUAAGCUUCAGUUACACAGGAAUCGUACCCGAAACCGACACAGGUGGUCAGGUCGAGUAGACCAAAGCGCUUGAGAGAACUCUGCUGAAGGAACUAGGCAAAAUGGUACCGUAACUUCGGGAGAAGG